AGUCAACUUUGCUCCUGCUGAUUGGCUUCCUCAUGGAGGUUCCGGUGCGGAUCUUUAUAAACUUUAUCGUAAAUCUCCUGUUUUAUCUCACGAGGAGCUUAUCUGUGUUGUAGCCAAGGCCUUUCCUCACUUUUUAUAUAUUCUUUUUAGUUUACAGAGAUAAAUUGUGUGACCUUCAGUUCUCAUUUUUUUUGAAAAUUCCAUAUUUCAGUCAUUUUAUAACUGUUCACUGCAAGAAUUAUCAUAGAGUAAUAAGAAAUGAUUUAUACUUUGUGCCUUUGAAAUUUGGCUGCCUUGUUUAGAUAAUUAUGGUUGGAUCAUAGUCCUUGAUUACCAGUACCAUUGCUUUUUUUGCACAAGGCUUAGUAGUAUCAGUGUCUAACUGAAAAAAUCCAAUUGAAAUCAGAGUUGAAGACUUCUUAAUAUCAUACAAGUAUACAUCAAAGAGACCUAGCCAUCUCCUGAAAGAAUGGAGGCCCAAUAUAUAGCAGAAAUAUCCUUUCCUGCUGUUAACAGAAUGCAUAUGAGAAAAUUUCAAGAAUCCUGCCCUUUCUUGUGUAUCAGUCAAGAGAUGAGAUAAGUGUGCUCAGAUAAGAUGUAAUGACGGGAUGAAGAGUGACAAUUAUUUGCAAUCCAGUUAAUCUGCUAGACCCCUUUCAUUAAUUCAAGCCUGUAGUCUGGACAUAGAAGUCGGGACCUGGGGAAUUUGUUAAAGUUAUGAAAAGGAAAUGUUUAGAUCUAGAAUACAACGAAUGGAAUAGUAUGCAAAACGUAAUCAGAGUAACAAGCUGAGUGUAUUUUAUUGAGGUUAUGUCAAAUGUGGCUUUAUGGUUCUGGAUGUAUUUUCCCGGCCAUUUCAUAUGUAUGCUGUUGCCAAAAGUUAGGAAGGCAAAGGUUGAUCAGUGGCAUUGUAUUUAGAUUUUCUAUUAAUUUUGUUAGAAAUUGAUUGGUUCUACAACAGGUUACUUAUCUAUUACAAAUAUGUAUUAAGUUCGUACCUAUAUGGGUACUUCUCUCAUAUUUUUUGGAAAAUGGCCCUGUGUUCAAAUUUGUCGUGUAUUAUCAUUAAGGUGAAGGUGAUGGUCAAAGUUGAAUCUGAUACGAGUCAUAUGACGAGCAGACUGUAUGGAAGAUAGCAGAUUUUGUCGAUGUUUUCUGGUUCAUCAAGCAAUUUAAAGAUGAAUUUGCAAGUGAUAGUGUCGUGAAUAAUAAAAUGGAAAUUGGCUGAUCGCUCCGCUUUUGACACACUUCUCAUAACUAGCCAUAAACUCCACUGCAUCAGUCAUCACCAACAACCAGCACUAUCAUUCUUUAUAAUCAUGUUAGACACUGUAAUUAGUUUUGUGGUUAAGGCAUAUGUUUGACCAAUUUUAUCUCGCUUGCAGACUGAAUUUGAUAGCAAAGUAACACCUUACCUAAUGAAGGAAUUGCUCCGUGUUUACAAUAAAGAGAAAAGUUGGAGAGAUGACUUUGGAGAAAUGGCAUUGUGCGGUCUUCCUUAAUGUCGCC
Molecule: long non-coding RNA, 1509 nt
Filed under: Daucus carota (carrot)
Lineage: Eukaryota; Viridiplantae; Streptophyta; Magnoliopsida; Apiales; Apiaceae
Description: long non-coding RNA (DCAR_LNC003525)
Source: RNAcentral